GCUCAACACAAGUAUCGUCUGGAAAGCGGA
Molecule: non-coding RNA, 30 nt
Filed under: Rattus norvegicus (Norway rat)
Lineage: Eukaryota; Metazoa; Chordata; Mammalia; Rodentia; Muridae
Source: RNAcentral